RNAcentral lists this ribosomal RNA (121 nucleotides) under Blautia difficilis. RNAcentral describes it as "partial 16S ribosomal RNA". It matches the Rfam family "Bacterial small subunit ribosomal RNA", at positions 1421 to 1533 of the family's 1533-position model. The record is from RNAcentral. Lineage: Bacteria; Bacillati; Bacillota; Clostridia; Lachnospirales; Lachnospiraceae.
CCGAAGUCAGUGACCUAACCGCAAGGGAGGAGCUGCCGAAGGCGGGACCGAUGACUGGGGUGAAGUCGUAACAAGGUAGCCGUAUCGGAAGGUGCGGCUGGAUCACCUCCUUUCUAAGGAA